This 1548-nucleotide ribosomal RNA is filed under the name uncultured fungus. RNAcentral describes it as "eukaryotic LSU rRNA". The stretch from base 902 to 1548 matches the Rfam family "Eukaryotic large subunit ribosomal RNA", at positions 1 to 667 of the family's 3401-position model. Lineage: Eukaryota; Fungi. The record is from RNAcentral.
AAGUCGUAACAAGGUUUCCGUAGGAGGUCCGCCUAUGGCCUUGAGCCGCGACAAGUAAAUAAUGGCAUAGUCUGUUAGCAGGCGACAUCUCUACCUUGCUGGAAACCCUUAACUGGCUACUAGCAGCUCAAUCGAGUUCACAGGUCAAAUAGAGGUGGCCCUCUUUAAGGGUUAAGAUAUGAUCGGACUUGGCUAUCGCUAGUCAAGAUAUUCGGAACCUGCAUCUUUCUGCAGGUUACAAGAGUCCUUCACAGGGCAACAUAUCUACUGUGCUGGGAUUUACCAUAAGUAAUGCCAGCAGCCUACCUAGGUAUCAAGCAGGUUAGGUUCACAGGUCAAAUAGAUAUGGCCUGUCAACCGGUUAAGAUAUGAUCGAGAAUUCGCUGUGAUUUGCGAAUAAUUUUCGGGAAGGAUCAUUAAAGAGUCGCGCAGCAGCUAAGUUCUCUUAGCUGGUGUAAUACUCCACCCUUUGCUUAUAUUACCUUUGUUGCUUUGGCAGGCCCGCUCUUACGCCGCUGGCUUCGGCUGGCCAGCGCCUGCCAGAGGACCUAAAACUCCUGUUAAUAAUGUCGUCUUGAGUACUAUAUAAUAGUUAAAACUUUCAACAACGGAUCUCUUGGUUCUGGCAUCGAUGAAGAACGCAGCGAAAUGCGAUAAGUAAUGUGAAUUGCAGAAUUCAGUGAAUCAUCGAAUCUUUGAACGCAUAUUGCGCCCUCUGGUAUUCCGGGGGGCAUGCCUGUUCGAGCGUCAUUACAACCCUCAAGCUCUGCUUGGUAUUAGGCCUCACCUGUUAGGGCGGGCUGUAAAAUUAGUGGCGGUGCCAUUCGGCUUCAGGCGUAGUAAUUCUUCUCGCUUUGGAUGANCGGUUGCGUGCCCGCUAGCAAUCCUAAANUUAUCAAAGUGACCUCGAUCAGGUAGGGAUNCCCGCUGAACUUAANCAUAUCAAUAAGCGGAGGAAAAGAAACCANCAGGGAUUGCNUUAGUANCGGCGAGUGAAGCGGCAACAGCUCAAAUUUGAAAUCUGACUUUACGGUCCGAGUUGUAAUUUGUAGAGGAUGUUUCGAACGUGGUCCGGUCUAAGUUCCUUGGAACAGGACGUCACAGAGGGUGAGAAUCCCGUAUGCGACUGGGUGCCUAAGUUUAUGUGAAGCUCCUUCGACGAGUCGAGUUGUUUGGGAAUGCAGCUCAAGAUGGGUGGUAAAUUUCAUCUAAAGCUAAAUAUUGGCCAGAGACCGAUAGCGCACAAGUAGAGUGAUCGAAAGAUGAAAAGCACUUUGGAAAGAGAGUUAAACAGUACGUGAAAUUGUUGAAAGGGAAGCGCUUGCAACCAGACUUGCAUGUAGUUAAUCAUCCGGUGUUUUCACCGGUGCACUUGAUUAUAUUCAGGCCAGCAUCGGUUUCGGUGGUUGGAAAAAAGCCUAGGGAAUGUAGCUUCUUUCGGGGAGUGUUAUAGCCCUCGGUAUAAUGCAGCCUACCGGGACCGAGGACCGCGCUUCGGCUAGGAUGCUGGCGUAAUGGUUGUAAGCGACCCGUCUUGAAACACGGACC